AGAGUUUGAUCCUAGCUCAGGGUGAACGCUGGCGGCGUGGAUGAGGCAUGCAAGUCGAAUGGGUUUAGACCCAUGGCAGACGAGGUAGGAACACGUAGGUACAUACCUCAAAGUCAGGGAUAACCUGGAGAAAUCCAGAAUAAUACCUGAUAGUCUCUUCGGAGUAAAGAUUUAUCGCUUUGGGAAUGGCCUGCGGGCUAUCAGCUUGUUGGUACGGUAACGGCGUACCAAGGCUACGACGGCUAGGGGAGGUGAGAGCCUGACCCCCACCGAUGGAACUGCGACACGGUCCAUACUCCUACGGGAGGCCGCAGUCGAGAAUCUUCCGCAAUGGACGAAAGUCUGACGGAGCGACGCCGCGUGGUGGAUGAAGUCUUUCGGGACGUAAACACCUUUUAUGAGGGAGGAAGUUUAUUGACGUUACCUCAUGAAUAAGGGGCUCCCAAUUCUGUGCCAGCAGGAGCGGUAAUACAGAAGCCUCAAGCGUUACCCGGAUUCACUGGGCGUAAAGGGUGCGUAGGUGGUUAUAUUAGUCGGAUGUUAAAUUGUAGGGCUCAACCUUACAGCCGCAUUCGAAACGGUAUAACUAGAAGAAGUCAGAGGUGUACGGAACUCAAGGUGUAGGGGUGAAAUCCGUUGAUAUCUUGGGGAACACCAAACGCGAAGGCAGUACACUGGGACUUUCUUGACACUGAGGCACGAAAGCGUGGGUAGCGAAUGGGAUUAGAUACCCCAGUAGUCCACGCCCUAAACGCUGUCUGCUAGCUUUUGGAGGAAUCGACCCCUUCAGAGGCGUAGGUAACCCGUUAAGCAGACCGCCUGGGUAGUACGAGCGCAAGCUUAAAACUCAAAGGAAUAGACGGGGGCUCGCACAAGCGGUGGAGCGCGGGGCUUAAUUCGUCGCUAAGCGAAAAACCUUACCGAGGCUAGAAACCAUACUGCACGCCUUCCGAAAGGAAGGAAGUCUUCGAGAGUGUAUGGCAGGUGAUGCAUGGCCGUCGUCAGUUCGUGGCUUGAGCUGUUCCCUUAAGUGGGAAACGAACGCAACCCUCGUUGCCUGUUACAAGUGUCAGGCGAGACUGCUCCCUCACGGGAGAGGAAGGUGAGGAUGACGCCAGGUCAGCAUGUCCCUUGAUGCCUCGGGCUGCACCCACGCUACAAUGGGACGCACAACGGGACGCAAUACAGUAAUGUGGAGCAAAUCCUUAUAAAACGUUCCUCAGUUCGGAUUGUGGUCUGCAACUCGACCACAUGAAGUCGGAAUCGCUAGUAAUCGCGGAUCAGCACGCCGCGGUGAAUACGUUCCCGAGCCUUGUACUCACCGCCCGUCAAGUCAGGGGAGUCGGGAGUGCCCGAAGUCCGUAUUUAUUGCGGCCUACGGUAAGCUCGAUAACAAGGACUAAGUCGUAACAAGGCA
Molecule: ribosomal RNA, 1417 nt
Filed under: metagenome
Description: bacterial SSU rRNA
Rfam family: Bacterial small subunit ribosomal RNA
Source: RNAcentral